This 462-nucleotide ribosomal RNA is filed under the name uncultured bacterium. Its description in RNAcentral is "bacterial SSU rRNA". It matches the Rfam family "Bacterial small subunit ribosomal RNA", at positions 338 to 795 of the family's 1533-position model. The record is from RNAcentral.
CCUACGGGAGGCUGCAGUCGAGAAUCUUCCGCAAUGGGCGAAAGCCUGACGGAGCGACACCGCGUGCAGGAUGAAGGCCUUCGGGUUGUAAACUGCUGUCGAGCUUUAGGAAUGACCUGGCGUGAAUAGCGCCAGGGGUGACCAAAGCUGAAGGAAGCAACGGCUAACUCUGUGCCAGCAGCCGCGGUAAGACAGAGGUUGCAAACGUUGUUCGGAAUUACUGGGCAUAAAGCGCACGUAGGUGGUCUGCUAAGUCGCGUGUGAAAUGUCCCGGCUCAACCGGGGAAUUGCGCGCGAUACUGGCAGGCUCGAGGUCGGGAGGGGUGAGCGGAACUCCUGGUGGAGCGGUGAAAUGCGUAGAUAUCAGGAGGAACACCGGUGGCGAAAGCGGCUCACUGGCCCGAAUCUGACACUGAGGUGCGAAAGCUAGGGUAGCAAACGGGAUUAGAUACCCCGGUAGUC